AUUGAACGCUGGCGGCAGGCCUAACACAUGCAAGUCGAGCGGAUGAAGGGAGCUUGCUCCUGGAUUCAGCGGCGGACGGGUGAGUAAUGCCUAGGAAUCUGCCUGGUAGUGGGUGAUAACGUCCUGAAACGGGCGCUAAUACCGCAGACGUCCUGAGGGAGAAAGUGGGGGGUCUUCGGACCUCACGCUAUCAGAGGAGCCUAGGUCGGAUUAGCUAGUUGGUGGGGUAAAGGCCUACCAAGGCGGCGAUCCGUAACUGGUCUGAGAGGAUGAUCAGUCACACUGGAAGUGAGACAGGGUCCAGACUCCUACGGGAGGCCGCAGUGGGGAAUAUUGGACAAUGGGCGAAAGCCUGAUCCAGCCAUGCCGCGUGUGUGACGAAGGUCUUCGGAUUGUAAAGCACUUUAAGUUGGGAGGAAGGGCAGUAAGUUAAUACCUUGCUGUUUUGACGUUACCAACAGAAUAAGCACCGGCUAACUUCGUG
Molecule: ribosomal RNA, 484 nt
Filed under: uncultured bacterium
Lineage: Bacteria
Description: partial 16S ribosomal RNA
Rfam family: Bacterial small subunit ribosomal RNA
Source: RNAcentral